Molecule: ribosomal RNA, 253 nt
Filed under: uncultured bacterium
Lineage: Bacteria
Description: partial 16S ribosomal RNA
Rfam family: Bacterial small subunit ribosomal RNA
Source: RNAcentral
UACGUAGGGGGCAAGCGUUGUCCGGAAUCAUUGGGCGUAAAGCGCGUGUAGGCGGGUCGGUAAGUCCGCUCUGAAAGCCCGGGGCUCAACCCCGGGAGGCGGGUGGAUACUGUCGACCUCGAGUCCGGAAGAGGCGAGUGGAAUUCCUGGUGUAGCGGUGAAAUGCGCAGAUAUCAGGAGGAACACCGAUGGCGAAGGCAGCUCGCUGGGACGGUACUGACGCUGAGACGCGAAAGCGUGGGGAGCAAACAGG